GCCCUAGUAACGGCGAGUGAAGCGGCAAUAGCUCAAAUUUGAAAGCUGGCCUUUGGUCCGCAUUGUAAUUUGUAGAGGAUGCUUUUAGGCAGCCGCCGGUCUAAGUUCCUUGGAACAGGACGUCAUAGAGGGUGAGAAUCCCGUAUGUGACCGGCUCAGGCACCUUCUGUAAAGCUCCUUCGACGAGUCGAGUUGUUUGGGAAUGCAGCUCUAAAUGGGAGGUAAAUUUCUUCUAAAGCUAAAUACUGGCGAGAGACCGAUAGCGCACAAGUAGAGUGAUCGAAAGAUGAAAAGUACUUUGGAAAGAGAGUUAAAAAGCACGUGAAAUUGUUGAAAGGGAAGCGCUUGCAAUCAGACUUGGCCUCGGUUGUUCAACCGGUCUUUUGACCGGCCUAUUCAAUCGGGGGCAGGCCAGCAUCAGUUUCGGCGGCCGGAUAAAGGCCUUGGGAAUGUGGCCUCUCCUUCGGGGGAGGUGUUAUAGCCCAGGGUGUAAUACGGUCAGCUGGGACUGAGGUCCGCGCUUCGGCUAGGAUGCUGGCGUAAUGGUUGUAAGCGGCCCGUCUUGAAACACGGACCAAGGAGUCUAACAUCUAUGCGAGUGUUAGGGUGUCAAACCCUUACGCGUAAUGAAAGUGAACGGAGGUGGGAACCCGCAAGGGUGCACCAUCGACCGAUCCUGAUGUCUUCGGAUGGAUUUGAGUAAGAGCAUAGCUGUUGGGACCCGAAAGAUGGUGAACUAUGCCUGAAUAGGGUGAAGCCAGAGGAAACUCUGGUGGAGGCUCGCAGCGGUUCUGACGUGCAAAUCGAUCGUCAAAUUUGGGUAUAGGGGCGAAAGACUAAUCGAACCAUCUAGUAGCUGGUUCCUGCCGAA
RNAcentral lists this ribosomal RNA (871 nucleotides) under uncultured fungus. RNAcentral's name for it is "LSU rRNA". It matches the Rfam family "Eukaryotic large subunit ribosomal RNA", at positions 77 to 965 of the family's 3401-position model. The record is from RNAcentral. Lineage: Eukaryota; Fungi.